This 1134-nucleotide ribosomal RNA is filed under the name Triticum aestivum (bread wheat). RNAcentral's name for it is "partial small subunit ribosomal RNA". The record is from RNAcentral. Lineage: Eukaryota; Viridiplantae; Streptophyta; Magnoliopsida; Poales; Poaceae.
AUGGCGACCAGGAUGUCAAAGGAGGAGCUGGCGGCGUAUCAGCCGAGGCCGGGGGUGCGCUGUGAGAAGGCAGCGGCGGAAUUUUUGGCGAGGAGGAAGAAGGAGAUGGAGUCAGAGCCUGAGGAGUCCCGCAACGAUCUGAAUGCAUACGAAGCCGGCCUCUACCGGGUUUUCUGGGAGCAGAUGUUCGCCAAGGACGGCGGCUCCUACGAAGACAUCACCAUGAUCCCUCCCAUGGCUUUCACUGAUCGUGACUGCAAGUUUGCCGGCCUCCAGUGCACUAUACAGAUUUUUUCUGUCAAAGUUGAGGAGACAACAGGAGGGUUGAAGUGGCCGUUGGAUGUCUACGGUAUGGUCGCCGUCCGUGAUGUGGUCGAUCACAACCGAAAUGUGAUCUUCCAUCGUGAGAGGGAUAACUGCCAAAUCAUUACCACAGAGGAUCCAUAUCUGGCAUUAACUGGUCCUGCCCGAGCUGUUGUGGUCUCUGUUCAUCCUAUAUACUUUGAUGUUGACCUUAAAGUGAAAGGUGGCACAAAGUCUAAAGACAAAGAUCUAAGCUUUCUAGCAGCCUGUUACAGUAGUAACGGCCCGUGGGGAUCCUGCUUGUUUGAUCGGGCUUGGACUAGCAAGCUCAGCACUCUAAAGUUUACAUUUGGUCACUUGGUUCACUCGGUGGAGGCCACGGUGAGCGUGAAACUAACUGGAGGGACGUGGCCCCAUGGUUAUCGAGGCGUCUUUACUGUUGAGACGUCUGGUAUUCCCGGAAAGGCCGUGUUGCUGCUGGAUUCUUGUGAUAGCAAACUGCCCGUGGAUGAUGAUGGUCAAGUGAAGCUUUCGCGCCGCAUUGCUUGCGUUGAGUUUGUUCAGCCUAUGGAUGAGCUUGGUAGGCCUAAUCUGAAAAUUUCGGUGGAGGCAGUGUGCAUCGAAGGAAAGGGUAAGGAUGAAAAGCUGAUGAAAGAUAAGAUAAAGCUUGGGAUGAAUUUUCUGCCCAAGAAAAGGGGUAGAAGCCGACAGGUUAUAGAGAUUCUCUCGUGUAAGAUGGAAGUAAAUGUUGCGUGGUCUCUUAUGUCGACCUUCAAGAGCAGCUAUAAGAAUGCCAUUGCAAGUCAUCUGGAAAGUCUAAGUUUGAUUUAG